NNNNNNNNNNNNNAGACUCCCGUCCGCGCCGCGCAUGCGCUCGGUCCCCCACUUAAAGGGCCAGCGCUUUACCGCCGGGCCCUCCGCCGCCCGCCCCCUGCCCCGCGUCCCAAGUUAUCUCCAGGAGGCAGGAGGUCGUCUGCUCCGCUCCCACCUCUUUCUCGGGGCGCAGCGAAGCCGGCGCGGAGCCGCGGAGGAAGUUCACAGCGUGCGGCGCAGAGCGCUAACUGCACGGAGGUUCCGGGCUCGGGAGGCCCGCGGUCGGGAAUUUCCUAAAGGAAGCACCUCGCAGGGGCCCUCGGGGGGUCGGCGCGAGAGCUCUGGCUUGGAGGACCGGGUUCUAGACAGGAGUCAGAGUCCGAUUUCCCGCGGGACAUCCUCCAGAUCGCUUCCCUCAGUGGGCCUCGGUUUCCCGAGCUAUCAGCCGAGCUCGUCGCACCCGAUUAGGCCAUUAACACUGGCCACAGUCCUCAGUGAAGUUGUGAACGGUACCAGCUGAAGGGCAUCACGGCUGCAGUCGUUCAAGAUGGCGACACCCUUCAAGUUGAAGGUGGAGCGUUGUCUUUAAAACACAGGUCUGUGCUUCUCAGCAUUUCAUUUGGAGCUCUAAAUUUGAGGGGAUCGUGCACGCCGCCCUCCUGAGCCCCUGUGAGAGGCCCAGCCAGGCAAAAGUCGACCCACAGCCCUGAGGACACAGGUGCCACAGUUCAUAAUUAGUUACUCAUUGUGUUUUCUCUUCUUGGGUUUUUCCUUCCCCACCAGUUCCCACCUCCAUUCUCUUAGAUCCCUUCUUUCCCUCCCCCUUUUUCCUUCCUUCCUU
Molecule: long non-coding RNA, 820 nt
Filed under: Mustela putorius furo (domestic ferret)
Lineage: Eukaryota; Metazoa; Chordata; Mammalia; Carnivora; Mustelidae
Description: lncRNA (ENSMPUG00000030337.1)
Source: RNAcentral